This 447-nucleotide ribosomal RNA is filed under the name uncultured bacterium. Its description in RNAcentral is "SSU rRNA". It matches the Rfam family "Bacterial small subunit ribosomal RNA", at positions 26 to 518 of the family's 1533-position model. The record is from RNAcentral.
AGAGCGAACGCUGGCGGCAGGCCUAACACAUGCAAGUCGAGCGCCCGUAGCAAUACGGGAGCGGCAGACGGGAUAGUAACACGUGGGAACGCGCCCUUCGGUUCGGAAUAACUCAGGGAAACUUGAGCUAAUACCGAAUACGCCCUUACGGGGAAAGAUUUAUUGCCGAAGGAACGGCCCGCGUCCGAUUAGCUAGUUGGUGAGGUAAUGGCUCACCAAGGCACGAUCGGUAGCUGGUCUGAGAGGAUGACCAGCAUCACUGGGACUGAGACACGGCCCAGACUCCUACGGGAGGCAGCAGUGGGGAAUAUUGGACAAUGGGCGCAAGCCUGAUCCAGCCAUGCCGCGUGGAUGAUGAAGGCCUUAGGGUUGUAAAGUCCUUUUAACGGGGAAGAUAAUGACGGUACCCGUAGAAUAAGCCCCGGCUAACUUCGUGCCAGCAGCCGC